GCGGUGGGGGAUAGACGGUGCCAGCCGCCGCGGCCACACCGGCAGCACGAGUGAUGACCGUUCUUAUUGGGCCUAAAGCGUCCGUAGCUGGCCACGCAAGUCUAUCGGGAAAUCCGCGCGCUCAACGCGCGGGCGUCCGGUGGAAACUGUGUGGCUUGGGACCGGAAGAUCCAAAGGGUACGUCCGGGGUAGGAGUGAAAUCCCGUAAUCCUGGACGGACCACCGGUGGCGAAAGCGCUCUGGAAAGACGGAUCCGACGGUGAGGGACGAAAGCUCGGGUCACGAACCGGAUUAGAUACCCGGGUAGUCCAAGCUGUAAACGAUGUCUGCUAGGUGUGCCACAGGCUACAAGCCUGUGGUGUGCCGUAGGGAAGCCGAGAAGCAAACCGCCUGGGAAGUACGUCCGCAAGGAUGAAACUUAAAGGAAUUGGCGGGGGAGCACAU
Molecule: ribosomal RNA, 444 nt
Filed under: uncultured archaeon
Lineage: Archaea
Also listed under: 1 other name
Description: bacterial SSU rRNA
Rfam family: Archaeal small subunit ribosomal RNA
Source: RNAcentral